CAGAAUUUUAGCCGAGGAUAUAGCUUACAAAAUAGCAAACAAAAUACAACAAGAUUAUUGUAAACAAGAGAGAGAACGAGAAUAGAGAGCAAAAAUACAAUACAUCAAAAGCUUAGAAGAACCAAAGAAAAAUACAUAUUGGAGGAACUAAUGAAUUGAUUAGCAAGAUCGGAUAUGAGCGAUUACUUCUCCGUUUAUGAUCUCCUCAGAAGAACAUUUUCUCAGUUAGAUGCCCAAACAGUCUCUGAUGCCCUGCUCGAAUUCGUCGAGCGCAGAGAUGGUAUCCGUCAAUCCUUCUUUCAACUUCUCCCUGCAGUGUAAAGGGGAAUUUAAGUACUUACUUUUGCGUCCUCAGCUCAUUCUAGCACAAAAAAAAAGACAAACUAAGAAACCAACAAUCAGCCCAAAAGUAUGAAUUUUGAGGGUCAUGUCAUUAUACUAAGUUGUCGGACAUGCUAAAUUUUAGACCCUUAUUUUCACAAAUUACCUAUUGAUGUCCAAUUAUGUUCUUACGCUAUGUUAUAUCUUGGACAGCAGUGGGAUAAAUCGAGUUAUCCCCCCUAUUCUGCUAAAGGCAAGCAGUUUGACAGGAAACAGUGCUCAUCAAAUCAGAGCACUCUAGGAUAACUCCCGAACAAGAAGUUAGCUCCUGAACUAGUGUUUUACCUUACUUUAUCCUUAUUUAUCACCAUAAUAAUUGCAAAAACUUUUUGAAGCAUAACGCAGAUUUGCAUACCUAUCACUAUCGAGCUGAAGGUUGCUUUGGUUGAUAACACUCCCAAUAGAGGAAAACAAUCUGAAUAGCAAGACAAAAAUAGUAAAAACAUAGAUGAACAUUUCGUUGAAUAGGACUAGAAAGAAUAGAUCUACUUAAGGGAUAUAUGGCCGUCAAAUUUAGUCAAAAUGAAUGCCAACAUAGACUCAUUUGGCUUGGCUUCUGAAGUAGCAUCUCUACUUUGAGAAGCAGCAGCACCCAGCCAAUUGGAAAACCAAGAGUCUAGAGCGUGUUCUACAGGAAAGAGACGAAACAAGUUUUCAGAUCGUAAAAGCACAAGCUCCAAUUUUGGUCUUUAGUCUCUGCUGUAGUAAAGAGCACCUCAAUUUCUUCCCACUACAGCAGCAGCUUUCAUUCUAGGGCCUAGAAACUCAUUUCAGCUUCCGAUCAUGGCAAAAGCGAUUUUUGGUUGCCAAAUGCCUAGCUACAGCUUCUUAAAGUAGAAUAGGCAAGCCAAACACGCACUUAAUACUAAACGAGGCUUACAUGUUUUGCUUGACUUACUAACCAACCAACCAACCAACCACCUUUAAAUUGCAUUCUACUUUCAUGAAGAGCCCAAUCAUUAGAAAUAAGCUUGACUACUCAACAGCCAGGUCCCCUUAAAUUCUAGUGGAGCUCCUAAUAUACCGACAAAAGGGAAAGCUUACUCAUCAGGAGCAUCCGAGGCGACUUUCUUACUUAAC
This 1461-nucleotide long non-coding RNA is filed under the name Ananas comosus (pineapple). RNAcentral's name for it is "long non-coding RNA (ACOM_LNC018436)". The record is from RNAcentral. Lineage: Eukaryota; Viridiplantae; Streptophyta; Magnoliopsida; Poales; Bromeliaceae.